AGCAGCCGCCGCGGUAAUACGUAGGGUGCAAGCGUUAAUCGGAAUUACUGGGCGUAAAGCGUGCGUAGGUGGUGGUUUAAGUCCGUUGUGAAAGCCCUGGGCUCAACCUGGGAAUUGCAGUGGAUACUGGGUCACUAGAGUGUGGUAGAGGAUAGUGGAAUUUCCGGUGUAGCAGUGAAAUGCGUAGAGAUCGGAAGGAACAUCUGUGGCGAAGGCGACUAUCUGGGCCAACACUGACACUGAGGCACGAAAGCGUGGGGAGCAAACAGGAUUAGAUACCCCCGUAGUCCCUGUCUCUUAUAC
This 303-nucleotide ribosomal RNA is filed under the name uncultured bacterium. RNAcentral describes it as "partial 16S ribosomal RNA". It matches the Rfam family "Bacterial small subunit ribosomal RNA", at positions 507 to 807 of the family's 1533-position model. The record is from RNAcentral.